Punica granatum (pomegranate) is the source of this 1107-nucleotide non-coding RNA. NCBI's taxonomy places the organism in Eukaryota, Viridiplantae, Streptophyta, Magnoliopsida, Myrtales, Lythraceae. The record is from RefSeq and is a predicted model, not a curated record.
CCUUUAGGUAUCAAUCUCUCCUACGCCCGGGUGCAUAAAUCCCUUCGUUAGUCAAUGACUAGGCUGGCGUAUCCUGUCUCGGCGUUAUCAUUUUUAUUCCUUUUAGGCCUGAAAGUUUUGGUAAUUUUAUGGUGGCCCUCAUAUUUUGUAAUUUUGGUAAGGACACCCCUAUUCUCUUCCAUUUAUACCACAUGUCUCCACCAGAAAACUCACCUCUAUAAUAUAUUCCCCCACUCUCUCUAUCUCUCAGCUCUGCAGCUGCUGCUUGACGCGCAUAUCGACCGGUUACCAACCAAACAACUGAUCUUCGAUCCCUCCAAUCCAUCUUUUGAUAUUUAAAAUAGCAUCCUUUAUCGGUGAGUAGAUGCGUGUAUUAAAUUUUAUUCUUAGGAUGUAGCGGGAAAGAUCUCUAUUAGAAACGCCUUUAAGAGUUUUAAUCCUUCCCCGAAGGAUGUUAAUGAUUUGCUAUUGACUCAUCCCGAGAGAAGUAAUCAGUCGAUAUGCGUGUCAACAGCAACUAGAGUGCUUUCCAGUGUCGUCCUAUGCCACCUCCAUGAUCCAUCUAGCGGUACUAUGAUAUAUGAGGAGGAUAUCAAUAUAAGAACCCUCAUUGAGACGGUGAGACUCUCAUCAAUGGCCAAACCGAACAAGGCACGUUUUUUGACGGGAGAGUUGCAGAACUACCCAUAGCAGCUAACCCGUUCAAGUAUAUACUUCAAUCCUCGUUUCAUUUUAGGAGUUUGUAGGACUACGAUCAAUGAAGGAACAAUCUGUUAUACCAUGAGUGACUGAUGGAAGCAAGAGAGAGAGAGAGAGAGAGAGAGAAAACAUUACAAAUAGGAUAUAAUCCAAGCAUAUGAAAUCGGGGAAUUACAUAUAUUAUCCAAAUGUUAUGAUAUCUCUCAUUUGCUUCCAUUAAUCAUCCACAUGUAGAUAUGAAUGAGACCAUAUGUUGCCUUCACUCAUUACUUAGGAAAACAUCAUGUAAUUUUGGCUUUUCUCUUGUAUAAUGAUUCAGCCCUCUCUCUGUCUUUUUUUGAUGGUUGCUCUCUCUCUCUCUCUCUCUUGUAUAGUGAGUCGGCCCUAUACAAUUUGAGUCAUACCAUA